UACGUAGGUGGCAAGCGUUGUCCGGAAUUAUUGGGCGUAAAGCGCGCGCAGGCGGUCCUUUAAGUCUGAUGUGAAAGCCCACGGCUCAACCGUGGAGGGUCAUUGGAAACUGGGGGACUUGAGUACAGGAGAGGAGAGUGGAAUUCCACGUGUAGCGGUGAAAUGCGUAGAGAUGUGGAGGAACACCAGUGGCGAAGGCGACUCUUUGGCCUGUAACUGACGCUGAGGCGCGAAAGCGUGGGGAGCAAACAGG
This 253-nucleotide ribosomal RNA is filed under the name uncultured bacterium. Its description in RNAcentral is "partial 16S ribosomal RNA". It matches the Rfam family "Bacterial small subunit ribosomal RNA", at positions 524 to 776 of the family's 1533-position model. The record is from RNAcentral.